This 87-nucleotide signal recognition particle RNA is filed under the name Caldicellulosiruptor saccharolyticus DSM 8903. Its description in RNAcentral is "SRP RNA; RNA component of signal recognition particle". It matches the Rfam family "Bacterial small signal recognition particle RNA", at positions 9 to 84 of the family's 97-position model. Rfam says of the family: The signal recognition particle (SRP) is a universally conserved ribonucleoprotein involved in the co-translational targeting of proteins to membranes. Archaeal SRP consists of a 7S RNA and homologues of the eukaryotic SRP19 and SRP54 proteins. Lineage: Bacteria; Bacillati; Bacillota; Caldicellulosiruptorales; Caldicellulosiruptoraceae. The record is from RNAcentral.
GUCCUGCGCAACGCGACGGCUGUGAACCCCGCCAGGUCCGGAAGGAAGCAACGGUAAGCAGUUUUUCGCGUGUGCCGCAGGGGUGCA